CACCCGCCUUGGCCUCCCAAAGUGCUGGGAUUACAGCACCUGGCUGUAAAAUCACUUUUAAAGGUCACAUUCAGUCUACCUGGUAAUAUAAAUAUUUCAUAGACCUUGAUUCUCCUUCCCUCCAGAAUGCUUUAUGUGGCCCUGGGGGAGUCACUUUCUCUAAUACUUUAUUUCCCUCAUUGUAAAAUAGGGCUGAUAUGAUUGAAUCCAAAUAAUACAGUAACAGCUCAGUCAAUAAUAGCAACUUAUGAUUAUAUUAAAAGGUAAAAAAGGCUAAUAAUAAAAUACAAUUUAUUAAAGGAAUCAUGUUUACAAAGAUACAGGACAUUUUUUUCUCAGAUAUUUCAACACCAUAGCAACACGAAAUUAAUUUCUUCAUGUAUAACAGAUAUGCUGAAAGCUGCAUGCCUCAUCAAUUUUUAUUUUAUUGGUUAUGGCUAUAGGUGACAUCUUUCCAUAUAAAAACAAACUGUACAGCAUCACAUACAGAGUACAGACAUCUUAAGUUCAUUCACAAAGCUCAUUUUUCUAAACUGCCCUUCAAAAA
Sapajus apella (tufted capuchin) is the source of this 547-nucleotide long non-coding RNA. RefSeq lists it as uncharacterized. Lineage: Eukaryota; Metazoa; Chordata; Mammalia; Primates; Cebidae. The record is from RefSeq and is a predicted model, not a curated record. The transcript has 2 exons.